CUCAAAUGAAUUGACGGGGACCCGCACAAGCAGCGGAGCGUGUGGUUUAAUUCGUUGCUACACGAAGAACCUUACCUGGGUUUGACAUAUAGGUUGUAGGGAACUGAAAAGGGACCGACCUUCGGGAGCCUAUACAGGUGUUGCAUGGCUGUCGUCAGCUCGUGUCGUGAGAUGUUCGGUUAAGUCCGCUAACGAGCGCAACCCUCGUCGUAUGUUAUAUGUGUCAUACGAGACUGCCGGUAAAAGCCGGAGGAAGGUGAGGAUGAUGUCAAGUCAGCAUGACCUUUAUAUCCAGGGCUACACACACGCUACAAUGGUCUGUACAAUGGGUAGCCAAGCCGCGAGGCGGAGCCAAUCCUGAAAGCAGGCCUCAGUUCAGAUUGCAGUCUGCAACUCGACUGCAUGAAGCCGGAGUUGCUAGUAACCGCAGGUCAGCAAUACUGCGGUGAAUACGUUCCCGGGUCUU
Molecule: ribosomal RNA, 466 nt
Filed under: uncultured Anaerolineaceae bacterium
Lineage: Bacteria; Bacillati; Chloroflexota; Anaerolineae; Anaerolineales; Anaerolineaceae
Description: bacterial SSU rRNA
Rfam family: Bacterial small subunit ribosomal RNA
Source: RNAcentral